GAUCAAUGUGGUGCCGUGGUUUGAGUGUUGGACUAUGACUCUGAAGAACAGGGUUCGAAUCCCUGCUCAGUCA
Non-coding RNA from Phrynosoma platyrhinos (Desert horned lizard), 73 nucleotides. The record is from the annotation of a GenBank genome assembly. Lineage: Eukaryota; Metazoa; Chordata; Lepidosauria; Squamata; Phrynosomatidae.